Molecule: ribosomal RNA, 778 nt
Filed under: uncultured Neocallimastigales
Lineage: Eukaryota; Fungi; Neocallimastigomycota; Neocallimastigomycetes; Neocallimastigales
Description: partial large subunit ribosomal RNA
Rfam family: Eukaryotic large subunit ribosomal RNA
Source: RNAcentral
AGAGAGAGACAUGCGCGCAUAUCAAUAAGCGGAGGAAAAGAAACUAACUAGGAUUCCCUCAGUAACGGCGAGUGAAGCGGGAAGAGCUCAAAUUUGAAAUCUUCAAGGUUCUACCUUGACGAAUUGUAGUUUAAAGAAGUGUUUUCUGUUGGAGUUUUGGUAAAAGUUCUUUGGAAUAGGACAUCAUAGAGGGUGAGAAUCCCGUAUUUGACCAUUAUUUCCAACUUUGUGAUACACUUUCAAAGAGUCGGAUUGUUUGGGAAUGCAGUCCAAAAUGGGUGGUAAAUUUCAUCUAAAGCUAAAUAUUGGCGAGAGACCGAUAGCGAACAAGUACCGUGAGGGAAAGAUGAAAAGAACUUUGAAAAGAGAGUUAAACAGUACGUGAAAUUGUCAAAAGGGAAGCGUUUGACACCAGUGUUGUUUAGUUGAAAAUCAAUUCAAUAAUUUGGGAUUUUGAGUAGUAUUGACUUCAUCAGCUUUCUGCACUUUUUCUUGUCAUAUUAUUGAAUGCACUUUUCAGUUAACAAGUCAACAUCAAUUUCUUUUGUUGUAAAAGGGUAAUAGGAAGGUGGCUUACUCUUCGGCGUAAGUGUUUAUAGCCUUUGACCUCUGCAAUCGGAGAGAUUGAGGUCUGCAGCGUAGACUCUUCGGGGUUAGAUAGCACUUGUGCUAAGCUAUAGCCUUGUAUAGACAACUUGUUGACUAUGCUCAGUCAUGUAGCUUACUCGCUUAUGUCUAUUUUACCUACGCUUAGGAUGUUGACAGCAGUAUAGACUGU